CCUACGGGUGGCAGCAGUGAGGAAUAUUGGUCAAUGGACGAGAGUCUGAACCAGCCAAGUAGCGUGAAGGAUGACUGCCCUAUGGGUUGUAAACUUCUUUUAUAUGGGAAUAAAAUGUUCCACGUGUGGGAUUUUGUAUGUACCAUAUGAAUAAGGAUCGGCUAACUCCGUGCCAGCAGCCGCGGUAAUACGGAGGAUCCGGGCGUUAUCCGGAUUUAUUGGGUUUAAAGGGAGCGUAGGUGGAUUGUUAAGUCAGUUGUGAAAGUUUGCGGCUCAACCGGAAAAUUGCAGUUGAAACUGGCAGUCUUGAGUACAGUAGAGGUGAGCGGAAUUCGUGGUGUAGCGGUGAAAUGCUUAGAUAUCACGAAGAACUCCGAUUGCGAAGGCAGCUCACUGGACUGCAACUGACACUGAGGCUCGAAAGUGUGGGUAGCAAACAGGAUUAGAUACCCCUGUAGUC
RNAcentral lists this ribosomal RNA (460 nucleotides) under uncultured bacterium. RNAcentral describes it as "partial 16S ribosomal RNA". It matches the Rfam family "Bacterial small subunit ribosomal RNA", at positions 338 to 795 of the family's 1533-position model. The record is from RNAcentral.